GCUAUUGAAGCUCCAUCUACAAAUGGAUAAGAUUUCGAUCUUUGUGUAUACGAGUUUUUGAAAAUAACGGAACAAUGCCGAUUCUCUUCCAAGAAGUUGGUAUUGCUCCGUUAUUUAUUAGGUUUUUUUUUUCAAUUUUUUUAUUUAUAUUUAGUUCCUUGUUUUACUUCAACAAAACAAAAAGUAUUUUUAUGGUUUUUGAUUUAGUAUCCUAUUAUUAUUAAUUAUGUGCUAAUAAUUAAAUUUCCCUUUAGUUAUUUUGGCUUUACAGUCAUAUUAUUGGUUUAGAGUCAAUUUAAUAUAAAAUAUAAAAAAGUAUGGAAUUUUCUGCCGAAUUAAGGUAAGAUAAAAAAAGAAUCAUCAAAAAAGAUGAUCAAUGGUAGGAAUUGCACUCUUUUUUUGGUAAUUUUGUAGAGAGUAGGGGGCGGAUGUAGCCAAGUGGAUCAAG
This 448-nucleotide unclassified non-coding RNA is filed under the name Atalaya calcicola. RNAcentral's name for it is "partial miscellaneous RNA". Lineage: Eukaryota; Viridiplantae; Streptophyta; Magnoliopsida; Sapindales; Sapindaceae. The record is from RNAcentral.